GACGAACGCUGGCGGCGUGCUUAACACAUGCAAGUCGAGCGGUAAGGCCCUUUCGGGGGUACACGAGCGGCGAACGGGUGAGUAACACGUGGGUGACCUGCCCUCAGCUCUGGGAUAAGCCUGGGAAACCGGGUCUAAUACCGGAUAUGACUCCAUGACGCAUGUUGUGGGGUGGAAAGCCUUGUGCGGCUGAGGAUGGGCCCGCGGCCUAUCAGCUUGUUGGUGGGGUGAUGGCCUACCAAGGCGACGACGGGUAGCCGGCCUGNGAGGGCGACCGGCCACACUGGGACUGAGACACGGCCCAGACUCCUACGGGAGGCAGCAGUGGGGAAUCUUGCGCAAUGGGCGAAAGCCUGACGCAGCGACGCCGCGUGA
Molecule: ribosomal RNA, 375 nt
Filed under: uncultured bacterium
Lineage: Bacteria
Description: bacterial SSU rRNA
Rfam family: Bacterial small subunit ribosomal RNA
Source: RNAcentral